AACAAGGAUUCCCCUAGUAACGGCGAGUGAAGCGGGAAGAGCUCAAAUUUUAAAUCUGGCGGUCUCCGGCCGUCCGAGUUGUAAAUUAUAGAAGCGUUAUCUGUGCCGGACCUGUCAUAAGUUGUCUUGAAUGAUAUAUCAGAGAGGGUGAGAAUCCCGUGCUUUGGCAGGACUACCGGGGCUAUAUGUUGCGCUCUCGACGAGUCGAGUUGUUUGUGAUUGCAGCUCCAAAUGGGAGGUAAAUUCCUUCUAAAGCUAAAUAUCUUGGAAUGACCGAUAGCGAACAAGUACCGUGAGGGAAAGAUGAAAAGAACUUUGGAAAGAGAGUUAAACAGUACGUGAAAUUGUUAAAAGGGAAAC
This 360-nucleotide ribosomal RNA is filed under the name Tulasnellaceae sp. CBS 504.93. Its description in RNAcentral is "eukaryotic LSU rRNA". It matches the Rfam family "Eukaryotic large subunit ribosomal RNA", at positions 67 to 420 of the family's 3401-position model. Lineage: Eukaryota; Fungi; Basidiomycota; Agaricomycetes; Cantharellales; Tulasnellaceae. The record is from RNAcentral.